GCAUCAGGCCACAUUACGUCUGUAUUGUGAUCGAUGAUGCAUUUCGACAGCCGCCCAUAUCAUCCGCGCACUAGCCGGAAAAUACAUAAUUGCGCGCAUGUUUGGGGAUCACUCUGCAUGUAGGUGCUUCUGCUGAAUUGAUCUGAGAAGCAUGCACAAUUGCAGUAAUACAUUGACAACAACCCAGCCAACUAAUAAGAGAUGGUGGAACCACUGGCUGUCUGCACAGCAGAUUCCCUUGCUGUCUUCAAACACAGACUAAAUACUCAUCUAUUUUUACAGUAUUAAAUGACCACUAAUUCUGCUAAUUAUUAAAACAUGUUAAUGUCUUGAAGUGUCUUGAAUUGCACUACUGUGUAUCCGUGCUUAUAUG
Molecule: non-coding RNA, 373 nt
Organism: Electrophorus electricus (electric eel)
Lineage: Eukaryota; Metazoa; Chordata; Actinopteri; Gymnotiformes; Gymnotidae
Source: RefSeq, a predicted model, not a curated record